RNAcentral lists this ribosomal RNA (471 nucleotides) under uncultured bacterium. RNAcentral describes it as "bacterial SSU rRNA". It matches the Rfam family "Bacterial small subunit ribosomal RNA", at positions 29 to 491 of the family's 1533-position model. The record is from RNAcentral.
AUUGAACGCUGGCGGAAUGCUUUACACAUGCAAGUCGAGCGGCAGCGCGGGGCAACCUGGCGGCGAGCGGCGAACGGGUGAGUAAUGUAUCGGAACGUACCCAGUCGUGGGGGAUAACUAUCCGAAAGGAUAGCUAAUACCGCAUACGUCCUGAGGGAGAAAGCGGGGGAUCGCAAGACCUCGCGCGAUUGGAGCGGCCGAUAUCGGAUUAGCUAGUUGGUGAGGUAAAGGCUCACCAAGGCGACGAUCCGUAGCUGGUCUGAGAGGACGACCAGCCACACUGGAACUGAGACACGGUCCAGACUCCUACGGGAGGCAGCAGUGGGGAAUUUUGGACAAUGGGGGCAACCCUGAUCCAGCCAUUCCGCGUGAGUGAAGAAGGCCUGGUUGUAAGGACUCUUCUAGCCGGAAACGAAAUACGCUGUUUUUAAUUAACGGUACGAGUGGAUGACGGUACCGGAACGAAGAAGA